GGGCCCGCACAAGCGGUGGAGCAUGUGGUUUAAUUCGAUGCAACGCGAAGAACCUUACCAGGGCUUGACAUACUGCAGAUCUUUUUGAGAAAGAAGAGUGCCUUCGGGAAUGCAGAUACAGGUGGUGCAUGGCUGUCGUCAGCUCGUGUCGUGAGAUGUUGGUUAAGUCCCGCAACGAGCGCAACCCUUAUUUUUAGUUGCCAUCAUUUAGUUGGGCACUCUGAAAGAACUGCCAGUGAUAAGCUGGAGGAAGGUGGGGAUGACGUCAAGUCCUCAUGGCCCUUACGUGUUGGGCUACACACGUGCUACAAUGGUAUUUUACAAAAAGGAAGCAAAACGGCGACGUU
This 347-nucleotide ribosomal RNA is filed under the name uncultured bacterium. Its description in RNAcentral is "bacterial SSU rRNA". It matches the Rfam family "Bacterial small subunit ribosomal RNA", at positions 917 to 1264 of the family's 1533-position model. The record is from RNAcentral.